RNAcentral lists this long non-coding RNA (420 nucleotides) under Pan troglodytes (chimpanzee). Its description in RNAcentral is "long non-coding RNA NONPTRT012698". Lineage: Eukaryota; Metazoa; Chordata; Mammalia; Primates; Hominidae. The record is from RNAcentral.
GAAAGGAAGGAAAGAAGGGGCUUAUAAUAUACUGCUAUUAGAUCAAUAUGGUGAAGUUAAGCAGAGUUUUGAGUUCCCACGUUAUGAUUAUGCAAAGCUCCGUCACGUACCUUAUGUGACAAAUACCUGCUGAAACUCAAAAGAUGCAUGACUUUCCAGGAUUUAGCCAUGGGAUGGCUUUCCUUGAAAGAACUUUCUGGGCCAUAUAAAGAAGAUCAGGGAAAAGAGAAAAGGGAAAGGGAAACACCUCCAGCUAAGCUACUGGAACUUUCACUCAACCUAGCAUCUGUGAUGAUAAGCAGGGAUUUUAGCAAAGCUACCAGUGUUUGAAUCCUGGCUUUAGAAUUUUUUUAUGACCUUGGUCAAGUUAUUUAAUUUCUUUUGUUCUCUAUUUCCUCAUCAGUAAAAUAAGAAUAAUAA